Molecule: ribosomal RNA, 523 nt
Filed under: Octopus kaurna (southern sand octopus)
Lineage: Eukaryota; Metazoa; Mollusca; Cephalopoda; Octopoda; Octopodidae
Description: partial 16S ribosomal RNA
Rfam family: Bacterial large subunit ribosomal RNA
Source: RNAcentral
GUCUCUUUGAGUCAUACUAAUAAAGAGUUGGGCCUGCUCGGUGAGGAAAUUUUAACAGCUGCGGUAUUAUAACUGUACUAAGGUAGCAUAAUAAUUUGCCUUAUAAAUUAAGGCUAGAAUGAAUGGUUUGACGAAAAUUAAACUGUCUUUAUUUUAUUUAUUAGAAAUUAAUUUUUAUAGUGAGAAAGCUUGAAUGGUUUAGAGGGACGAGAAGACCCUAUUGAGUUUUUAUUAAUAGUUAGAUAUAGUAUAAAAUGUUAUUAAUGUUUUAGUAUAAAUAGAGUUUAAUAAAGUUAAUUUUGAUUGGGGUGAUCAAGGAAUAAAAAAUAGUUAACUUCCUUAAUGUUAAAAAUUUUUUUAUUAAAUAAUAAACCAAAUUUUUUGCUUAUAAGAUAAGUUACCAUAGGGGUAACAGCGUAAUUUUUUUUGAGAGUUCAUAUUGAAAAAAAAGAUUGCGACCUCGAUGUUGGAUUAAAAGUACCUUAGGGAGUAGAGGCUUUAUUAGGUGAAUCUGUUCGAUUUU